GAUGAACGCUGGCGGCGUGCUUAACACAUGCAAGUCGAACGGAAAGGCCCAAGCUUGCUUGGGUACUCGAGUGGCGAACGGGUGAGUAACACGUGGGUGAUCUGCCCUGCACUUCGGGAUAAGCCUGGGAAACUGGGUCUAAUACCGGAUAGGACCACGUCUUGGAUGUUGUGGUGGAAAGUUUUUUCGGUGUGGGAUGAGCUCGCGGCCUAUCAGCUUGUUGGUGGGGUAAUGGCCUACCAAGGCGUCGACGGGUAGCCGGCCUGAGAGGGUGUACGGCCACAUUGGGACUGGGAUACGGCCCAGACUCCUACGGGAGGCAGCAGUGGGGAAUAUUGCACAAUGGGCGCAAGCCUGAUGCAGCGACGCCGCGUGGGGGAUGACGGCCUUCGGGUUGUAAACUCCUUUCGCUAGGGACGAAGCGUUUUUGUGACGGUACCUGGAGAAGAAGCACCGGCUAACUACGUG
RNAcentral lists this ribosomal RNA (468 nucleotides) under uncultured bacterium. RNAcentral describes it as "partial 16S ribosomal RNA". It matches the Rfam family "Bacterial small subunit ribosomal RNA", at positions 28 to 507 of the family's 1533-position model. The record is from RNAcentral.